Molecule: transfer RNA, 74 nt
Filed under: Sus scrofa (pig)
Lineage: Eukaryota; Metazoa; Chordata; Mammalia; Artiodactyla; Suidae
Rfam family: tRNA
About the family: Transfer RNA (tRNA) molecules are approximately 80 nucleotides in length. Their secondary structure includes four short double-helical elements and three loops (D, anti-codon, and T loops).
Source: Rfam by way of RNAcentral
UUUCUGGUGGCCUAGCGGGUUAAGGGCCCAGUGUUGUCACUUCUGUGGCACAGGUUUGACCCCUGGCCUGGAAA